This 444-nucleotide unclassified non-coding RNA is filed under the name uncultured Russula. Its description in RNAcentral is "sequence contains ITS2". The stretch from base 1 to 154 matches the Rfam family "5.8S ribosomal RNA". Lineage: Eukaryota; Fungi; Basidiomycota; Agaricomycetes; Russulales; Russulaceae. The record is from RNAcentral.
AACUUUCGACAAUGGAUCUCUUGGCUCUCGCAUCGCUGAAGAACGCAGCGAAAUGCGAUAAGUAAUGUGAAUUGCAGAAUUCUGUGAAUCAUCGAAUCUUUGAACGCACCUUGCGUCCCUUGGCAUUCCGAGGGGCACACCCGUUUGAGUGUCGUGGAAUUAUCAAACCUACUUGGUUUCUUGAUCAAGAUGGCUUUGGACUUUGGAGGCAUUUUGCUGGCUUUGCGAAAAGCCAGCUCCUCUUAAAUACAUUAGUGGGAUCCCCUUUGCCGAUCCCCAGGCGUGAUAAGAUAUUUCUACGUCUUGGGAUUUGCUCUGUUCCUUGGGAACCCGCUUCCAACCGUCUCAUGGGAGACAUCGUUCGAGUUUGCUCGACCCACGAACCUUGACCUCAAAUCGGGUGAGACUACCCGCUGAACUUAAGCAUAUCAAUAAGCGGAGGCU